Lagopus muta (rock ptarmigan) is the source of this 373-nucleotide long non-coding RNA. RefSeq lists it as uncharacterized. NCBI's taxonomy places the organism in Eukaryota, Metazoa, Chordata, Aves, Galliformes, Phasianidae. The record is from RefSeq and is a predicted model, not a curated record. The transcript has 3 exons.
UCACAGAAUUGUAGGGGCUGGAAAGGACCUCCAGAGAUAGAAUCCAACUUCCCUGCAAGGCUCCCUACAGCAGGCUGCUCAGCUUUCCACUCUACUAGUAAUUGUGAACAUGUUUCUUUCCUCUACAUAUUUGCUAUUGGUAUAAUGAUGACAUAAUCUGGAAUGACUCUUGGAAUAUGGCCACUCACUAUUUCUGAAAGCCCAGUCUGGUAGGAUGCUAACAAUACAGAAUGAGAAGGAGAUGGCCAGCAGAAUUAAAAAUGAAAUCCUGCCCACUGAAAGACACUUCCUGGUUCUGGAAAGGAAUAAUGCAUCCUGAAGCCAAAGGAAGAGAAUGAUCCCAGGAACGAUUCUGAAGAAGGGACAGGGAUAA